CAGCAAAACACAGGAGGAGCAAGUCAGACAAUGAUUGUUUUCAUUUUUCUCUGAGGCUUCUCAGUUUCCCAGGAGAAGAAAUCCUGGCAAAGGGAUUUUUCAGAAAAUGUGACAGUGACAGGUGCUCCCUUCCUGGGUGAAGGACAUGGGCAGUGCUGGAGCUGUGAUUUUAAUGCAACAAUCAGAUAUUUAAAACCCAGCCUGUGUUUAAUUGCUGCUCUGAGUAGCAGCAGCAGGAUCUGGUGCUCACACUCCUCACUGCCCCAGUGCUGGGAGGGAAACGUGGCACCAGCCUCACAGUAAGAUGGCAUUUGUCCCAAUCCUGAAAUCAGGCUAUAGAUCAAACUCUUCAUUGGCUGCAGAAGUUUCUGUUUUUCUGAUUCCCACAGGUAGGAAAGCCUCUCUUUUCACUCGUAUUCUCUCGGAGCCAUCUGCUCAGAACACUUUCAAAAUGAGGGCAAUUAGAGAUAAGAGCUAAUAACACUCCAACCUGCACGCUGGGAAAUGCCAUUUAAUCACCAUUGCCUCGCUGGCAAAUAAGGAGCAGCCCCUGACUGGACCAGGGUGAUAAAGCUCCCGUGCAGGCUCAAAUGAAGAGCCCAGCUGCAGUGUUUGCCACCGUGAAUUGUAGCUGCAAGACCUGGAAUCUGGCCUAAAGAGCUGAUAUAAAUCCAGCAGAAUAAAUCUUUCCCUACUGCCUGUGGUUUCACACUGCCUUAACUCAACUCUUUUACCUAAUCUCUGACCUUCCUUUGUAAUUUUUCAUGUUUCCCAGGUAAAACUCAGGGUGCUCGUUAGCUGAGGCUGAGCCAGGAGGGCUGGGGAGUUCAGCUUUUCUCCUGAGGGAGACGAGCAGGGCUGAGCAGGGUGUGCUGUGGGAACCUUUGGCAGUGCUCUGCACUCAAUUUCCCAGUGCAGGAGCAUCUCUGGGUUUCCUU
Molecule: long non-coding RNA, 938 nt
Organism: Passer domesticus (house sparrow)
Lineage: Eukaryota; Metazoa; Chordata; Aves; Passeriformes; Passeridae
Exons: 3
Source: RefSeq, a predicted model, not a curated record